UCCGGGGGUCCCGCGCCCGCCGGCGCUCGCUGCCCUGCCCCGCGCCGCGCUCGUUUGUUGGGGUUUUAUUCUGGAGCCCGUCGGGCGGCUCCGACCCCUCGGAGCUCGUUCCAGGGAUCCCCGCGGGCUGCGCGCGUUGGCACGGAACGCACCUGCUGAUGGGGGAGCGGGGAGGGCCCGGGAUGGGGUCGUGGGACCGCCGGCUCUCUGGAGUCUGGGACCCGAGAUUAGGGCGGACCCGAGUUAAUAAGGUUGCCACCGCUCCUCCCGGCCCCGCGCGGGUACCUGAUGCUUCCCGAGCGGCGGGGGCCGUUCUGGCGUUGGCGGGACUGCGGCGGAGGCGGGCCCUUUGAGCCCCCCGGACUGCGCGCACACUGCCACCAGUAGCCAGCCAGCCGGACACCACUGCGCGGGUCCCACCCGGUUCAGAAUUUGACAUUUCAGCCUGGCUUCCCAGGGUGAUCUGGGGAGUAAGAACUUGACAGCGUGUCCUUAAAUCACGGGAUUGCAGACAUGGAGCUACUUCUCCGGAGCCCUUGGGAAAGGACUGGAAAGCAGAAUUAGCCUAGCAGGGCAGAGGGGCGGAAAAUCCGCAGUGCUGGGAACCAGACGUUUCCUCAUCUUGCUAGAGACGCUGAGUCCUGUGUACAGCCUCUGACACUGACCUUCACAUUCAACAGUCAAGCAAUUCCAACAAAAAUGACAAGCCUCUCUAGGGAACCAAUUCUGGAAGCUGCUGGGCUUCAGGAAUGAGGCCAUUCUCCAUUCAGCAGCCAGAGUUAUCCUGUCAUCUCCAAUGAGACCAAGCCACUCCCCUGUUUACAGCCUCCCAGCCGGCCAAGGCUCCUUCUCCAAGCUCCUGUCCGCCCUCCGCCCAGCCGGGCUCCCCCAUGCUGCCCGUCCCCAGGCCUCUGCUCAGAUGGCCCUUUCUCCGCCUCUCAUUCUUCCUGCACCUUCUCAUCAACCCCGGGCACUCCCAGCCCCCCACCUCCCACUCGGCACCAGCUCUGUGGCGUCGAGUACUAACCUCAGUGUUCUGAGUGAUAACCUGACUCAUAGCAGGUCAUCAGUGAAUGUGUUUGGAAAGGAUGGAUAUUGUCUUGAAUAGAUGACAAGGAGAGAAAAGUUCUGGAGUAGAGAGUGAGGAACAGUGCAAAACAAGGAGCACGUGUGUGUGUGACUCUACAUGGGCCUUCACCACAGCCCCAACACACAGUACUCUCCUUUCCCCUGACUUCCAGCCUGUCCUGGUUAUCAACCAGGGUGCAGUAGCCAAUCCAUGAUCAGAGCUCUCCAGCAGGGAGAACUGCCGCAGACCCGGGCCCCAGCAACCCCACACUCCUAUUUCUGGCACAACUUACCUUACCUACCCUAUUUUGGUCCUGUUAACUGAAACUGAGUUGGAGAGAGAAACCAAAACCAGACACCAGGAGCUACGGGGGUCUGGAGAGAGGUACCCAGUGGGCAGGGAGCCUGCCUGACAACGGCUGGCCCGGGUGUGAUCCGCGGCACCCCAUAUGACAUCCUGAGUCCUGCCAGGAGUCAACCCUAAACACAGUCAGGUGUGGCCCCAAACCUCUUCCCCCCAAAGAAAGGAUCUCAGAUUUUAUUAAUAAUGUCACUAUAAGGGUUUUCUUCCCUCCUUCCCCUUUUUAGAAAAGAUUGUAUUAAUUAAUAAUUAUCUUUUCUCCUAUUUGUUCCACUAUUUUUUUUUAAUUUGCCCUCUGUUGAAACAAUCACCUCCUACUAUUACUUAGUAAUUGCUUAGUAAUUUAUUUUACCUCCCCUAUUGGCUGACAUUUUAGCUAAACUUCCUUGUUUUAUUUUUCUAAGUGUCCAUUCUGAUGUAUCCUUAAUUUAUCACAGUCUGCCUUGAACCAGCAUACGAGUUUAAACCAGUAUAAUCGUCCUUUCACCCCCCUCCACUUAUACUUUGUUCUACUAAUCUCAUAUAGUUUAUUCCUUGAGUACUUAAUAAAGUAUAUCACUGGC
Long non-coding RNA from Sorex araneus (European shrew), 1992 nucleotides. RefSeq lists it as uncharacterized. NCBI's taxonomy places the organism in Eukaryota, Metazoa, Chordata, Mammalia, Eulipotyphla, Soricidae. The transcript is spliced from 3 exons. The record is from RefSeq and is a predicted model, not a curated record.